This is a non-coding RNA of Misgurnus anguillicaudatus (oriental weatherfish), 313 nucleotides long. The record is from RefSeq and is a predicted model, not a curated record. NCBI's taxonomy places the organism in Eukaryota, Metazoa, Chordata, Actinopteri, Cypriniformes, Cobitidae.
AAAACUUUUUUACUGAAAAACAGAAAUGAUGGGAGGUGUUGAAGAGCAGAUAUAAUAUAAUGACAUCUAAACACACAGACAGAGAAAAAACAGAUUCAGAAGAGAAACACACAACAUCAAAAAAAUGGAUGAAUCUCUAUAUUUCAGACUUCUUGUCAUUGCUCUCUGUUCAGUAUCUGAAUGCAGUCAGCGCCGGUAUCAUCAUAUAAACAUCAAUAUGACCUGGAUUGAUGCUCUGAUAUACUGCAGAGAAAACUACACAGAUCUGGCCACAGUCAACAACAUGAAUGACAUGAAUGAGCUGAUGAAUACA